AGAGUUUGAUCCUGGCUCAGGACGAACGCUGGCGGCGCGCUUAAUACAUGCAAGUCGAGCGAGAACCAGAGCUUCGGCUCUGGGGACAGCGGCGAACGGGUGAGUAACACGUGAGUAAUCUGCCCUCGGCACCGGGAUAGCCCGGGGAAACCCGGAUUAAUACCGGAUGGCCUCUCGAGCUUUCGGGCUCGUGAGAAAAGGUAGCUUCGGCCUCCGGCCGAGGAGGAGCUCGCGGCGGAUUAGCUUGUUGGUGAGGUAACGGCUCACCAAGGCGACGAUCCGUAGCUGGUCUGAGAGGACGAUCAGCCACACUGGGACUGAGACACGGCCCAGACUCCUACGGGAGGCAGCAGUAGGGAAUCUUGCGCAAUGGGCGAAAGCCUGACGCAGCGACGCCGCGUGCGGGAAGAAGGCCUUCGGGUUGUAAACCGCUUUCAGGAGGGACGAAGCCACUCGGGUUAAUAGCCCAGAGGGUGACGGUACCUCCAGAAGAAGCCUCGGCUAACUACGUGCCAGCAGCGGCGGUAAUAC
This 531-nucleotide ribosomal RNA is filed under the name uncultured bacterium. Its description in RNAcentral is "bacterial SSU rRNA". It matches the Rfam family "Bacterial small subunit ribosomal RNA", at positions 8 to 526 of the family's 1533-position model. The record is from RNAcentral.